CUUCUCCCAGAUCUCGGGGGACACCCUCCUUGUGCCACGUGGCGCGGGAGCGGACGGAGAGCCAGGUGCUGGACGAGCCAGCACUUAACCCAAGGCAGAGUACCCAGAGAUAGCAAGUUCCCAGAGAUCGCUUGUGGAUGAGUGGAUUCAGUGUGGAAUGUUUGCCAAAUGAAGACCUGGGUGCAGUUUGAACAGUGUUAUGAAACAGCAAAGGAGGGAGCAGCUGACUGCCUAGGGAAUCUGUGUGCCCUUGAGGGUGGAGACUAUAUUCCAGUUGGAGAUUCAAAUAUUGAUCAGAACACCAUGCUACAGAAACAAACAAUGGGAAAGUUCUUUAUGUACCAGCAUGUGACACCAAGCUAUAUUGUUAAGUGUACACUGAUGAACUACCUCUGGAUGUAUUCUGGGAACACUGAUUGCCAGAUUGGGAUGGGAGCUGAGUGGUUGAGGGAACAGAUAAGAAGAGGCUCUUCCUCAGAUUCCUUUUGUACCUUUGAAAUUUGAGCCAUGUGUAUGUACUACUGAGUCGAAAAAUACAUAACAAAUAUUAAAUUUAUACAUAAGAUCUAGUAAAAAAAAAUAUUUGCUCAAAAACCACCUAAAAAAUCCCACCAAAAUAAAUAAAUAAAAGCAAAUGUCA
Molecule: long non-coding RNA, 640 nt
Filed under: Bos indicus x Bos taurus (hybrid cattle)
Lineage: Eukaryota; Metazoa; Chordata; Mammalia; Artiodactyla; Bovidae
Description: lncRNA (ENSBIXG00005008247.1)
Source: RNAcentral